GACUCGUCACACUAUCAUUAACUGAAUCCAUAGGUUAAUGAGGCGAACCGGGGGAACUGAAACAUCUAAGUACCCCGAGGAAAAGAAAUCAACCGAGAUUCCCCCAGUAGCGGCGAGCGAACGGGGAGGAGCCCAGAGCCUGAAUCAGCAUGUGUGUUAGUGGAAGCGUCUGGAAAGGCGCGCGAUACAGGGUGACAGCCCCGUACACAAAAGCGCAUGUGCUGUGAGCUCGAUGAGUAGGGCGGGACACGUGGUAUCCUGUCUGAAUAUGGGGGGACCAUCCUCCAAGGCUAAAUACUCCUGACUGACCGAUAGUGAACCAGUACCGUGAGGGAAAGGCGAAAAGAACCCCGGCGAGGGGAGUGAAAAAGAACCUGAAACCGUGUACGUACAAGCAGUGGGAGCCCCACCACUAAGCCAGUGGUGAACUCCACAUACGCAUCCUUUGCUGAGGAUACGGUUAACGGAGCGAAAGCGACGUUCAACCGCAAAAGAAGCAGAGGGGGCUUAGUGGUGGGGUGACUGCGUACCUUUUGUAUAAUGGGUCAGCGACUUAUAUUCUGUAGCAAGGUUAACCGUAUAGGGGAGCCGGAGGGAAACCGAGUCUUAAUUGGGCGUUAAGUUGCAGGGUAUAGACCCGAAACCCGGUGAUCUAGCCAUGGGCAGGUUGAAGGUUGGGUAACACUAACUGGAGGACCGAACCGACUAAUGUUGAAAAAUUAGCGGAUGACCUGUGGCUGGGGGUGAAAGGCCA
RNAcentral lists this ribosomal RNA (754 nucleotides) under Salmonella enterica. Its description in RNAcentral is "partial 23S ribosomal RNA". It matches the Rfam family "Bacterial large subunit ribosomal RNA", at positions 137 to 831 of the family's 2925-position model. Lineage: Bacteria; Pseudomonadati; Pseudomonadota; Gammaproteobacteria; Enterobacterales; Enterobacteriaceae. The record is from RNAcentral.